RNAcentral lists this ribosomal RNA (496 nucleotides) under uncultured bacterium. Its description in RNAcentral is "partial 16S ribosomal RNA". It matches the Rfam family "Bacterial small subunit ribosomal RNA", at positions 28 to 506 of the family's 1533-position model. The record is from RNAcentral.
GAUGAACGCUGGCGGCGUGCCUAAUACAUGCAAGUCGAGCGAACAGACGAGGAGCUUGCUCCUCUGACGUUAGCGGCGGACGGGUGAGUAACACGUGGAUAACCUACCUAUAAGACUGGGAUAACUUCGGGAAACCGGAGCUAAUACCGGAUAAUAUAUUGAACCGCAUGGUUCAAUAGUGAAAGACGGUUUUGCUGUCACUUAUAGAUGGAUCCGCGCCGCAUUAGCUAGUUGGUAAGUUAACGGCUUACCAAGGCAACGAUGCGUAGCCGACCUGAGAGGGUGAUCGGCCACACUGGAACUGAGACACGGUCCAGACGCCUACGGGAGGCAGCAGUAGGGAAUCUUCCGCAAUGGGCGAAAGCCUGACGGAGCAACGCCGCGUGAGUGAUGAAGGUCUUCGGAUCGUAAAACUCUGUUAUUAGGGAAGAACAAAUGUGUAAGUAACUAUGCACGUCUUGACGGUACCUAAUCAGAAAGCCACGGCUAACUACGU